CCUACGGGAGGCAGCAGUGAGGAAUAUUGGUCAAUGGGCGCGAGCCUGACCCAGCAACGCCGCGUGAAGGAAGAAGGCUUUCGGGUUGUAAACUUCUUUUAAGAGGGAAGAGCAGAAGACGGUACCUCUUGAAUAAGCCACGGCUAACUACGUGCCAGCAGCCGCGGUAAUACGUAGGUGGCAAGCGUUGUCCGGAUUUACUGGGUGUAAAGGGCGUGUAGCCGGGCUGACAAGUCAGAUGUGAAAUCCGGGGGCUCAACCCCCGAACUGCAUUUGAAACUGUUGGUCUUGAGUAUCGGAGAGGCAGGCGGAAUUCCUAGUGUAGCGGUGAAAUGCGUAGAUAUUAGGAGGAACACCGGUGGCGAAGGCGGCCUGCUGGACUGUGACUGACGUUGAGGCCCGAAGGCGUGGGGAGCAAACAGGAUUAGAUACCCUUGUAGUC
Molecule: ribosomal RNA, 442 nt
Filed under: uncultured bacterium
Lineage: Bacteria
Description: partial 16S ribosomal RNA
Rfam family: Bacterial small subunit ribosomal RNA
Source: RNAcentral